GGAAUAGGACGUGUGGUUCUAUUUUGUUGGUUUCUAGGACCGCCGUAAUGAUUAAUAGGGACAGUCGGGGGCAUCAGUAUUCAAUUGUCAGAGGUGAAAUUCUUGGGUUUAUUGAAGACUAACUACUGCGAAAGCAUUUGCCAAGGAUGUUUUCAUUAAUCAGGAACUAAAGUUAGGGGAUCGAAGACGAUCAGAUACCGUCGUAGUCUUAACCAUAAACUAUGCCGACUAGGGAUCGGACGAUGUUAUUUUUUGACGCGUUCGGCACCUUACGAGAAAUCAAAGUGCUUGGGCUCCAGGGGGAGUAUGGUCGCAAGGCUGAAACUUAAAGAAAUUGACGGAAGGGCACCACCAGGGGUGGAGCCUGCGGCUUAAUUUGACUCGACACGGGGAAACUCACCAGGUCCAGACACAAUGAGGAUUGACAGAUUGAGAGCUCUUUCUUGAUUUUGUGGGUGGUGGUGCAUGGCCGUUCUUAGUUGGUGGAGUGAUUUGUCUGCUCAAUUGCGAUAACGAACGAGACCUUAACCUGCUAAAUAGCCCGUAUUGCUUUGGCAGUACGCUGGCUUCUUAGAGGGACUAUCGGCUCAAGCCGAUGGGAGUUUGAGGCAAUAACAGGUCUGUGAUGCCCUUAGAUGUUUCUGAACCGCACGCGCGCUACACUGACGAAGCCAGCGGAGUACUUCCCUGACCGUAAGGCCCGGAUUCAUCUGAUCUUCUGACCAC
Molecule: ribosomal RNA, 726 nt
Filed under: uncultured fungus
Lineage: Eukaryota; Fungi
Description: SSU rRNA
Rfam family: Eukaryotic small subunit ribosomal RNA
Source: RNAcentral